AGGGUUUGAUUAUGGCUCAGAUUGAACGCUGGCGGGAUGCUUGGCCAUACAAGUCGAACGGGCAGCACGGACUUCGGUCUGGUGGCGAGUGGCGAACGGGUGAGUAAUGUAUCGGGACGCCUAGUAGCGGGGGAUAACUACGAAAGCGUAGCUAAUACUGCACACACCUUCGGGGGAAAGCGGGGGACCUUCGGGCCUCGCACUAUUAGAGCAUUACGAUAUCGGAUUAGCUAGUUGUGGUAACGGCUCACCAAGGCGACGAUCCGUAGCUAUUUGAGGACGACCAGCCAUUGGACCGAGACACGGCCCAGACUCCUACGGGAGGCAGCAGUGGGGAAUUUUGACAAUGGGGAAACCCUGAUCCAGCCAUCCCGCGUGUGUGCGCGAUGAAGGCCUUCGGUUAGAAGUACUUGGCAGGAAAAGAAACGGCACGGGAUAAUAAUUCUCGCAACCACUUGGGUACCUGCAGAAUAAGCACCGGCUAACUACGUGCCAGCAGCCGCGGUAAUACGUAGGGUGCAAGCGUUAAUCGGAAUUACUGGGCGUAAAGCGUGCGCAGGUGGUUCGGAAAGAAAGAUGUGAAAUCCAGAGCUUAACUUUGAACUGCAUUUUUAACUACCGAGUCUAGAGUGUGUCAGAGGGAGUGUGGAAUUCCGCGUGUAGCAGUGAAAUGCGAUAUGCGGAGGAACACCGAUGGCGAAGGCAGCCUCCUGGGAUAACACUGACGUCAUGCACGAAAGCGUGGGGAGCAAACAGGAUUAGAUAAUUCUGGUAGCCACGCCUCAAACGAUGUCAACUAGCUGUUGGGGCCCUGGGCCUUGGUAGCAGCUAACGGCGGUGCUGACCGCCUGGGAGUACACAAGAUAUGAUUAAACUCAAAGGAAUUGACGGGGACCGCACAAGCGGUGACGAUGUGAUUAAUUGAGGCGUAAACGCGAAAAACCUUACCUACCCUUGACAUGCCCAACCGAAGAGAUUUGGGAGUGCUCGCAAGAGAACCGGAACAGGUGCCGUAUGGCUGUCGUCACUGAAGUCGAGAUGUUGGGUUAAGUCCCGCAACGAGCGCAACCUUGUCAUUAGUUGCUACGAAAGGGCACUCAUCGAGACUGCUUGCAGACAAACUGGAGGAAGGUGGGGAUGACGUCAAGUCCUCACAUUCUUAUGGGUAGGGUCACACGUCAUACAAUGGUCGGGAGGUCGCCAACCCGCGAGGGGAGCCAAUCCCAGAAACCCGAUCGUAGUCCGGAUCGCAGUCUGCAACUCGACCGUGCAGUCGGAAUCGCUAGUACCGUGACCAGCGCGUCGCGGGUGAAUACGUUCCCUGGCCUCGGUAUACACCGCCCGUCACACCAUGGGAGUGGGUUUUACCAGAAGUAGCGAAGCCCAACUGCAAGGAGGGCGAUUACCACGGGUAGGAUUCAUGACUGGGGUGAAGUCGUAACAAGGUAA
This 1449-nucleotide ribosomal RNA is filed under the name uncultured Bordetella sp. Its description in RNAcentral is "partial 16S-23S ribosomal RNA intergenic spacer". It matches the Rfam family "Bacterial small subunit ribosomal RNA". The record is from RNAcentral. Lineage: Bacteria; Pseudomonadati; Pseudomonadota; Betaproteobacteria; Burkholderiales; Alcaligenaceae.